Molecule: ribosomal RNA, 1464 nt
Filed under: Escherichia coli
Lineage: Bacteria; Pseudomonadati; Pseudomonadota; Gammaproteobacteria; Enterobacterales; Enterobacteriaceae
Description: bacterial SSU rRNA
Rfam family: Bacterial small subunit ribosomal RNA
Source: RNAcentral
GCUGGCGGCAGGCCUAACACAUGCAAGUCGAACGGUAACAGGAAGCAGCUUGCUGCUUCGCUGACGAGUGGCGGACGGGUGAGUAAUGUCUGGGAAACUGCCUGAUGGAGGGGGAUAACUACUGGAAACGGUAGCUAAUACCGCAUAACGUCGCAAGACCAAAGAGGGGGACCUUCGGGCCUCUUGCCAUCGGAUGUGCCCAGAUGGGAUUAGCUAGUAGGUGGGGUAACGGCUCACCUAGGCGACGAUCCCUAGCUGGUCUGAGAGGAUGACCAGCCACACUGGAACUGAGACACGGUCCAGACUCCUACGGGAGGCAGCAGUGGGGAAUAUUGCACAAUGGGCGCAAGCCUGAUGCAGCCAUGCCGCGUGUAUGAAGAAGGCCUUCGGGUUGUAAAGUACUUUCAGCGGGGAGGAAGGGAGUAAAGUUAAUACCUUUGCUCAUUGACGUUACCCGCAGAAGAAGCACCGGCUAACUCCGUGCCAGCAGCCGCGGUAAUACGGAGGGUGCAAGCGUUAAUCGGGAUUACUGGGGCGUAAAGCGCACGCAGGCGGUUUGUUAAGUCAGAUGUGAAAUCCCCGGGCUCAACCUGGGAACUGCAUCUGAUACUGGCAAGCUUGAGUCUCGUAGAGGGGGGUAGAAUUCCAGGUGUAGCGGUGAAAUGCGUAGAGAUCUGGAGGAAUACCGGUGGCGAAGGCGGCCCCCUGGACGAAGACUGACGCUCCAGGUGCGAAAAGACGUGCGGGAGCAAACAGGAUUAGAUACCCUGGUAGUCCACGCCGUAAACGAUGUCGACUUGGAGGUUGUGCCCUUGAGGCGUGGCUUCCGGAGCUAACGCGUUAAGUCGACCGCCUGGGGAGUACGGCCGCAAGGUUAAAACUCAAAUGAAUUGACGGGGGCCCGCACAAGCGGUGGAGCAUGUGGUUUAAUUCGAUGCAACGCGAAGAACCUUACCUGGUCUUGACAUCCACAGAACUUUCCAGAGAUGGAUUGGUGCCUUCGGGAACUGUGAGACAGGUGCUGCAUGGCUGUCGUCAGCUCGUGUUGUGAAAUGUUGGGUUAAGUCCCGCAACGAGCGCAACCCUUAUCCUUUGUUGCCAGCGGUCCGGCCGGGAACUCAAAGGAGACUGCCAGUGAUAAACUGGAGGAAGGUGGGGAUGACGUCAAGUCAUCAUGGCCCUUACGACCAGGGCUACACACGUGCUACAAUGGCGCAUACAAAGAGAAGCGACCUCGCGAGAGCAAGCGGACCUCAUAAAGUGCGUCGUAGUCCGGAUUGGAGUCUGCAACUCGACUCCAUGAAGUCGGAAUCGCUAGUAAUCGUGGAUCAGAAUGCCACGGUGAAUACGUUCCCGGGCCUUGUACACACCGCCCGUCACACCAUGGGGAGUGGGUUGCAAAAGAAGUAGGUAGCUUAACCUUCGGGAGGGCGCUUACCACUUUGUGAUUCAUGACUGGGGUGA